This 517-nucleotide ribosomal RNA is filed under the name Sporothrix brasiliensis. RNAcentral describes it as "eukaryotic LSU rRNA". It matches the Rfam family "Eukaryotic large subunit ribosomal RNA", at positions 75 to 602 of the family's 3401-position model. Lineage: Eukaryota; Fungi; Ascomycota; Sordariomycetes; Ophiostomatales; Ophiostomataceae. The record is from RNAcentral.
UUGCCCCAGUAACGGCGAGUGAAGCGGCAACAGCUCAAAUUUGAAAUCUGGCCCCCCGGCCCGAGUUGUAAUUUGGAGAGGAUGCUUCUGGCGCGGCGCCGUCCGAGUUCCUUGGAACAGGACGCCACAGAGGGUGAGAGCCCCGUACGGACGGACGCCUAGCCUCUACGAAGCUCCUUCGACGAGUCGAGUAGUUUGGGAAUGCUGCUCAAAAUGGGAGGUAAAUUUCUUCUAAAGCUAAAUACCGGCCAGAGACCGAUAGCGCACAAGUAGAGUGAUCGAAAGAUGAAAAGCACUUUGAAAAGAGGGUUAAAAAGUACGUGAAAUUGUUGAAAGGGAAGCGCCUGUGACCAGACUUGCGCCCCGCGGACCACCCGGCGUUCUCGCCGGUGCACUCUGCGGUGCGCAGGCCAGCAUCGGUUCUCCCAGGGGGACAAAGGCCGCGGGAACGUAGCUCCUUCGGGAGUGUUAUAGCCCGCGGCGGCAUGCCCCUGGGGGGACCGAGGACCGCGCUUCG